Molecule: ribosomal RNA, 266 nt
Filed under: uncultured bacterium
Lineage: Bacteria
Description: partial 16S ribosomal RNA
Rfam family: Bacterial small subunit ribosomal RNA
Source: RNAcentral
GUCCACGCAGUAAACGGUGAACACUAGGUGUAGCGGGUAUUGACCCCCGCUGUGCCGAAGCUAACGCAUUAAGUGUUCCGCCUGGGAAGUACGGCCGCAAGGUUAAAACUCAAAGGAAUUGACGGGGGCCCGCACAAGCGGUGGAGCAUGUGGUUUAAUUCGACGCAACGCGAAGAACCUUACCUGGGCUUGACAUCCCGGGAAUCUUCUUGAAAGAGAAGAGUGCCCUUCGGGGAACCCGGAGACAGGUGCUGCAUGGCUGUCGU